CGCGUGAGUCCUCCCACCGCCCACGCGUGACAUCCGAAAGAAAAAAAAAUGAAAUAAAUAACGUUACAUGAGCAAGGUGCAGUUCCGCCAGGAGCCGUGAGUGUGUGUGCGCGCGUGAAUGUGUGUGUGGCGUCUGUCUGAAACGUGAACCGCUUGCGUUAGACAUUCAAAACGGGGGAAAUAUCAGCACCACCAUCCUCACCAUCUUCAUCAUCCUCCUUCUGUUCCGCGCGGAAAACCUGUGCGCGCGCCAGCUAAAUUAAAUUAGAGUGGUGAAAUUAUUUGUGCGAGCUGCCUAUGAAGGGGAGGAAGGUGUGACACAGACACUACAGAGUGUGUGUUGUGGUUUGCAUUAGUGUUAAUGCUCUUACUUACUACUCUCUUAAUAAUCAGCCGUGCAAAACUGGAGCAUACAUGUCGUGAUCCGAGAAAAGCAUCGGGUUAUUCUUAUGGAUUAACAUAUGAUCUGAAUUCAACCCAGGUCGAUGUUUAAUGGAUGAGUUCUGGUAAACUAGGGCGAGCAUUUCUUUCACAACAUUCAACAAGUAUUGCUUUGUGCUGCUUUAAUGCUGGUGCGUUCAUGGUGACAUGCAUUGAUUCUUACACCAGCAUUCAUGUGGAAUAACAGGAGCAGCAUUCG
This 640-nucleotide long non-coding RNA is filed under the name Sinocyclocheilus anshuiensis. RNAcentral's name for it is "lncRNA (ENSSANG00000011327.1)". The record is from RNAcentral. Lineage: Eukaryota; Metazoa; Chordata; Actinopteri; Cypriniformes; Cyprinidae.